GAUGAUGCCUGAGCAGCUAUGGGAAACAACAAUGAAUCCAGAUACAAGGAUACUGAAGCAACUAGUUGUUUGAUGACGCAGCAAAACAAAUGUGGUCUUUUCAUCUCUCAUGGGUGCUAGGGUCGAUGUCCGGAAGGAACUCAUCAAAAGCGCUGCGACUAGAAUCAAUGUAGAGCAUCUUGACAUAUGAACAACACAUGCUAUUGCCUCAGCUAUACCAAGAGAUAGCUUUGAAAAGUUAGGAGGACUCAUUAUUGUUUUGUGAUUUUACCAUAUAAUUAUCUUUUAUUGAUUCCGAAACAUGGUUUCUUAAAUUGAUUUGCAUCUAUUCUAUUAAAACAUGAACAUGACCUUUUGAUAUGUGUUAUCUAACUAUUUUAAUAUAAUUAUUAAAAAAAGUUAUUAAUCA
Long non-coding RNA from Brassica napus (rape), 409 nucleotides. RefSeq lists it as uncharacterized. The record is from RefSeq and is a predicted model, not a curated record. NCBI's taxonomy places the organism in Eukaryota, Viridiplantae, Streptophyta, Magnoliopsida, Brassicales, Brassicaceae. The transcript has 2 exons.